Long non-coding RNA from Thalassophryne amazonica, 101 nucleotides. RefSeq lists it as uncharacterized. The transcript is spliced from 4 exons. The record is from RefSeq and is a predicted model, not a curated record. Lineage: Eukaryota; Metazoa; Chordata; Actinopteri; Batrachoidiformes; Batrachoididae.
GAGAGACGAGUGCAGUUUGUAGUUGAAACGAGGUGAUGCUGAGAAAUGAUGCUGUUGAGCUUCAAAAUGACGCAUGCGCAGUGAAGGCAGGGCGGACCGAU